Molecule: long non-coding RNA, 2911 nt
Organism: Equus caballus (horse)
Lineage: Eukaryota; Metazoa; Chordata; Mammalia; Perissodactyla; Equidae
Source: Ensembl
GUCCGAUAAAACUCCAGCAUGUUAAUCUCUGCCUCAGAGUCACCUAACCUGCAACAUCCCUCGUAUCCUGCUGAGCAUGGGUUCAAGUGAUUCUGCCGUGAAGCAUUGCUUAGAAUCUGUCCUAGAUUUGUCUUCUAAACUCAGCACCAAAAGCUAUGUGAACUUGAGGCCUCCAAGUGACAGCUUUGCAAAGAGGCAGCUGUGAGUUUCUGCGAUUCCCUGUGGAGGCUGGGGUUCUUGUGGAAGGUUAAUUCUAGAUCUUUCUCUUCCCACUCUGUCUCACUCUCUGACCAAGCAGUAUCCCCACAGCCUCUUGCUGCCAGCGUAUCCCUCCUUUGCUGUCUACAAGAUGGCUCAACUUGGCUCUUUUUUCCAUGAUAUCCAUCUGACCCACAGGAAACUCAUGCAGUAGCCAACAUUCUUUUUUUUUAAUCAUUUAUAAUGUAUUAUAUAAACCUAUAUACCUCAAAUGCUAUUGGAACCAGCAUAAUUAUCUUACUAGUUCCCUCAUGAAUUAAUGAAUUUAAUAACUUAUUUGAUAUGUUAAUAUAUUUUUACAAGAAUCGUGUCUUCAACUUUUUGGAAGUUAUACUUUGAAAAAUGUAAGUAACAGUAUUGUUACACAAACUCCUCUUAGCUCAUUAUAUUUUUAAGUCUCUUUAACGUCGUGGGUUUUUUUCAUUCUUUCUGCCUCAUUGUCUUUUCCACCACUGUAUUUCAUUUAAUUGAGUAUAUAUGGAGUAGAGUAACUUUUUAUUCUUUGUUGUUUCUUGGAUGCAACUUUAGAUUCACGUUCAUUUUUAUUUAAUGAAUGAAUGAAAUAAUGUAUAUUUCACUCUCUCAGGAAAUAAGGUAGAAUGUAUGUUGAGUUUAAUUCCGCCAAAUGGACUCAGAAUAUUUCAAAUGCAUUAUAACAGUUUUUUUAAUAUAUUUGAAAUAUUUUGGCAUAAAUACAUACAUUUUACUAAGUAAUAUUCUAAUUUUAUAAAUUCUCCAGAUGUCUGGGCACUAACGCAGCUAUCCGAAUAAAGUAAUAAUGUCCUUAAAUUAUGGAAACAUAUCUGCCAUAUUUCUUCCUACUUAGGCCAGAAACUUCAAGUUAUUGUAUUAACUCAGAAUUCAGACAAAGCUAAUGCAAAAACAACCAAAUAAAAAACAGCAAAGAAGCUUUAAAAAAUCACUUUUAUUAUAGUGCUUGAGGCUCCCAUUUGAAUGAUACAUUCUUCAGUUGAGUGUCAUUAUCACCUUAAUAUUCUAACGUCAUCAGUGAUUUUUCAUAUUCUGCAAAUUGCCUUUAACUUGUAGUAUUAAAAUUUUUAAAAAUGUUAAAAUCCAUGUAUUAACAAAGCUACAAUAGAAAACGAUUAAGUUAGAUAUUUCUUCUUAAUUUAAAGGAUAUUUAAAGGAGCUUAUUAAGUGAACAAAGGUCAGGAACUUGGAAACCUGUACUGAGGUCCACCUUAUGUUGUCCUAUAUCCCAUCUCUGGUUAGAUGUGCUGGCAGACUUCACCCAUUCACACCCCAAGACUGUUCUGGACAAGCAUAAUGGAGAACAGAAGGAAAUGUGUCUUUCUAUGAAUAGUCUUUCUGUGAAUGCAGGACUUAACACUGCUGGUUUGUUGCUCUCACUCUAUGUUUAUUAUUUAGAGGUUCUUCUAAAUUUGUAGUUAUUUGGUUUGUCCUUCUGAUUAUUUUGGUUUGGUUUGUUUAUGUCGGGAGCCUUUCCUUAAACUCCAACAUCUAGCCUCUAACUAGGCUCUGUUCCCUACCUCUUGGCAUCAAUUUCCAGUUCUCGAGGAAAGUGACUUUCACGGCCUUUAACUGAAACCAGCCCUAAACGGGGACUCUUGGUGGCUAUAACUUUUCUAGCCACUGCCUAGAAUAGCUGAGCUUUGAUAUCCUUAUUCCAUCCGAACCCGAUUCUGUACGUGGAGAGUUAUUUGCCUUGAUAUGCAUUCCAAGUCUACACCAUUGGAGGCAAUCUGUCAAAGUGUUGUCAUUGCAUUAGUGGGCGAAGGUUGUCUGCACCUCGGUUUAUCUUCAAAGAGUUUUCUUUAAGCACACCAUCAGCAAAAUAGAGGGAAAAACAGAUAAGAAGAAACAUAAGAAGAUUACAUAAUUUCUAUCAAUCAAAACCUAAUGUUUGUCUGCUGUUUGGUACUAAGUAUUGUCUCUGAAUGGAGACUCUGAUGCUUGGGCAAAUCUUGCUGAGCACCAAAAAACAUUUUUCAUAAAAAAAAAGGGAAGGAACACAUCAAUCUUGUAAAGAAUACCAAAACAUAAGGAGUUGAGACUGGAUUCAAAUUUUCAACUUGCCACUUCCCAGCUGUAUGACUUUGGACAAAUUAUUUACAUUUUCUGAGGCAGCAAAAAGGGUAUAAUACUUAUUCAUAUGCUUAUAAUGCAAAUUAAAUGUAAUAAUGUGUGUAACAUGACUAAAUGUUCAAUCAGUGAUAUACAAUAUUACGGUGCUUUUAUUACAUUAUGGCCUAAACCAAUCAUUUUUCAUAUUUCACUAACCCAGCAGCAUAGAAGGAGCAGCCCUGUCUCUAACAGCAAAGGCAGCCAUUCAGCAUGAGUAAUAGUGUUUCAUUCUGAAGAGACCCUCACGAGGAGACAAUACCAAAUGUCCCAUUUGCCAUAUCCCCAAAUAGCAACCUUGUGAGAAAAUAUGAAAGAGUCUUUUAUGACUAGCAUAUGGGAGUGACUGAUUUAUUUUUCAUCGGGGAGCAAGGAGUUCCAUGGAGGUAAAUUUUCUAAACAAAGAAGCAAAUUAUCAAGAAAAGUCAAUUUGUUUGUUCACCCAGGGCUGCUGUUUAGAAUAUCAUUUAUUGCACUGUUCAGUAACACUGCAGCAAACGCUUUUAGAUAGUGAUCCAACAAACAUACCUCAAUUCCUCUUUGACGCCAG